Long non-coding RNA from Juglans microcarpa x Juglans regia, 1735 nucleotides. RefSeq lists it as uncharacterized. The transcript is spliced from 3 exons. The record is from RefSeq and is a predicted model, not a curated record. Lineage: Eukaryota; Viridiplantae; Streptophyta; Magnoliopsida; Fagales; Juglandaceae.
AUGUGAGACAGGGACACAGUUCUUUGGUGUGACGUUUUCAGACUGAGGGGAUGGAUUGCAUAGAGAGUCAGAGACUUUGCAUUAUUUUUGUUUGGCCCGUGAGCAGAGUGAGAGGACUGAGUAGAGACCGUGAGAUUGAAAACUCAAAAGUUCAAAAUCCUAAUAUUUCGAAAGAGGGUCCUCGUCUCAGUGAUGCGUUGUGUUUUUUCUUCAUCUCAUCAAAAAUUCUGUUAUGUGGAGCUGAUUGGGUUCGAGUACUUCAUGGUUUGAAAAAAUCAUCAAGUAGAGAAGAACCAACUUAUAAGGAAAUUUUACUGCCCUGACAUGAAUUGUUGGCAUGUUGUAUAUUUUUGCCUUUUGGUAUAAUGCUAUUUAUUAUUAAAUUGGUAUUUUGUUAUAUCAUAUUACUAAUGAUAUCUUGUGUGUUUUGUAUCAUAGGUUGAUGGAGAUUGGUUUCUGGCUGGUUUUUUAUUUUUUUAUUUUUUGUGAAUUGAUCUACUAAAAAUACUUAAAGGAAGUAUGCUUAUAGGACAUGUUUUUUUAAGUAAUGGUGUAAUUAUUUUUGUGAAAAAAACUUGUUGACUUGUCAGAGCUGUCCAGCUAGACAAAGUUGCUGGAAAUUUGGAUUUUUUUUUUAAAGCUUGAACAUAUAGGUAAUUUCAUUACUUGAAUAGCUUACUUGAAUUGCAGAAAUAUAAGGAAUGUUGCAAACCACUAUUUGUGUACGUGAUGGAGAAAUAUGGAUAACAUGAAGUAAUUUUUUGUAGUGUUUUAUUUUUGUACUUGGUGCUCAAAGAAAUGGUUUAACAUGUUGAUAUUGCUUUCAUGUUUGUUAUUCUUGGUUAUUAUUAUUAGGUUGUUUAUUACUUUUAUUUAUUGUUCUACAGGUUAUUAUUCAAUCUAUUGUGUUUCAUUCAUUUUUAGACUAAGUGUUUAUUAUUUGUGUUUUUCAUUUUAUUAAUAAAUUGCUACUCUUAGUUAAGAUUAAUGGAUUUAAUAUUAGGUGUUCUGGCAAGUUGAAUUUAGUUAAGAUUAGUGGAUUUAUUAGUGUUUAUAUAUUUUUUUAUUCUCUUUAAACUAAGACCAACUUUUACACACUUUUGUAACUGUCAAAUGUAGAAUUGGCUCCUAUAUUCAAAGGUGAAGGCCAACAUAUUUACAUUGAUUUAUUUCAAAUGAGAAUGUUGGCUCCUAUGUCAUAUGUGCAUAAGAAAUGGGGCUGAAGUGAAUAAGAGUUGGACUUUUCAGUUUGUAAAUCUGAAUAUGUGAUUUAGAAGUUAUUAUUGUGAAUAUGUGAUACCUUAGAAGUUGAAAUUAUUUACCUGUUUCAGUUUUUAACUAUAUUUUGGCAAGUGAUGAAUCAUUGAUUUAUUUGCAAUAAGAAUGUUGUAAAUAAGCAAUGCAAUGUAAUGUGUUGCUGUGCAUCAGAGUGGCUCAAGUGAAUAAGAGUUGGAGGACUUUUUUCUACCAUUUAUUUAGUUUGUUUUCCUAGUUGAUACUAUAAUUAGUAUUCUACCAUUUGAAAUUGUAGUUUAUUGUUAUACCUUAGAAGUUGGGAUUAUGUACCUAUUUGUAACUAUACUGUGGCAAGUGAUGAAUCAUUGAUUUAUUUGCAAAAAGAUGUUGUUUAAGCAAUGCUAUGUCAUGUGCUGCUGACUGAUGUGCAUAAAAAAUGGAGCUAAUUCGGCUGAAGUCAUGAAUAAGAGUUGAAGAAUAUUCUUCUACCAUUUUUUUA